This 492-nucleotide ribosomal RNA is filed under the name uncultured bacterium. RNAcentral describes it as "bacterial SSU rRNA". It matches the Rfam family "Bacterial small subunit ribosomal RNA", at positions 28 to 504 of the family's 1533-position model. The record is from RNAcentral.
GAUGAACGCUGGCGGCGUGCCUAAUACAUGCAAGUCGUGCGGGGGAAGAUCCUUCGGGAUCGGAUCCAGCGGCGAACGGGUGAGUAACACGUGGGCAACCUGCCCGCAAGACGGGGAUAACUCCGGGAAACCGGUGCUAAUACCCGAUAAUCCCGGCUCCCGCAUGGGAGCGGGGUGAAAGGCGGCUUCGGCUGUCACUUGCGGAUGGGCCCGCGGCGCAUUAGCUGGUUGGUGAGGUAACGGCUCACCAAGGCGACGAUGCGUAGCCGACCUGAGAGGGUGAUCGGCCACACUGGGACUGAGACACGGCCCAGACUCCUACGGGAGGCAGCAGUAGGGAAUUUUCCGCAAUGGGCGCAAGCCUGACGGAGCAACGCCGCGUGAGUGAGGACGGCCUUCGGGUUGUAAAACUCUGUUCUUGAGGAAGAACCCUUCCGAGGCGAACAGCCUCGGAAGUUGACGGUACUCAAGGAGAAAGCCCCGGCUAACUAC